UCCGUAGGCGGGCAAUUAAGUCAGAGGUGAAAUCCCACAGCUCAAAUGUGGAACUGCCUUUGAUACUGGUUGUCUUGAGUUACAGUGAAGUAGAUAGAAUAUGUAGUGUAGCGGUGAAAUGCAUAGAUAUUACAUAGAAUACCGAUUGCGAAGGCAGUCUACUAACUGUAUACUGACGCUAAUGGACGAAAGCGUGGGGAGCGAACAGGAUUAGAUACCCUGGUAGUCC
Molecule: ribosomal RNA, 229 nt
Filed under: uncultured bacterium
Lineage: Bacteria
Description: partial 16S ribosomal RNA
Rfam family: Bacterial small subunit ribosomal RNA
Source: RNAcentral